This 302-nucleotide ribosomal RNA is filed under the name uncultured bacterium. RNAcentral's name for it is "partial 16S ribosomal RNA". It matches the Rfam family "Bacterial small subunit ribosomal RNA", at positions 508 to 807 of the family's 1533-position model. The record is from RNAcentral.
GCAGUCGCCGCGGGAAUACGUAGGGCGCAAGCGUUAUCCGGAAUUAUUGGGCGUAAAGAGCUCGUAGGCGGUUUGUCGCGUCUGCCGUGAAAGUCCGGGGCUCAACCCCGGAUCUGCGGUGGGUACGGGCAGACUAGAGUGAUGUAGGGGAGACUGGAAUUCCUGGUGUAGCGGUGAAAUGCGCAGAUAUCAGGAGGAACACCGAUGGCGAAGGCAGGUCUCUGGGCAUUAACUGACGCUGAGGAGCGAAAGCAUGGGGAGCGAACAGGAUUAGAUACCCGUGUAGUCCCUGUCUCUUAUAC